AGAGAGAGACAUGCGCGCAUAUCAAUAAGCGGAGGAAAAGAAACUAACAAGGAUUCCCUUAGUAACGGCGAGUGAAGCGGGAAGAGCUCAAAUUUGAAAUCUUCAAGGUUUACCUUGACGAAUUGUAGUUUAUAGAAGUGUUUUCUGUCAGUGGUAGUUGGUAAAAGUUCUUUGGAAUAGGACAUCAUAGAGGGUGAGAAUCCCGUAUUUGGUCAUUCCUCCUAGCGUUGUGAUACACUUUCAACGAGUCGGAUUGUUUGGGAAUGCAGUCCAAAAUGGGUGGUAAAUUUCAUCUAAAGCUAAAUAUUGGCGAGAGACCGAUAGCGAACAAGUACCGUGAGGGAAAGAUGAAAAGAACUUUGAAAAGAGAGUUAAACAGGUACGUGAAAUUGUCAAAAGGGAAGCGUUUGACACUAGUGUUGUUUUUCCGAAAAUCAAUUACGAAUGUUUUAUUUUUGAGGAGUUAUGACUUCAUCGGCUUGCUCCUUUCUUUAUGAAACUUUCUUAAUGCACUUUUCGGUUAACAAGUCAACAUCAAUUUCUUUUGUUGUAAAAGGGUAUGAGGAAGGUGGCUUUCUUUUCGGAGAAAGUGUUUAUAGCCUUGUGCCUCUGCAAUCGGAGAGAUUGAGGUCUGCAGCGUAGAUCCUUCGGGGUUAGAUACAUUUGUGCUAAGUUAUAGCUUUUCAUAGACAACUUGUUGACUAUGUUUAGUCUUGUAGCUUACUCGCUUACUGCUAUUUUACCUACGCUUAGGAUGUUGAUAGUCACAGCGUGUAC
This 777-nucleotide ribosomal RNA is filed under the name uncultured Neocallimastigales. RNAcentral describes it as "partial large subunit ribosomal RNA". It matches the Rfam family "Eukaryotic large subunit ribosomal RNA", at positions 23 to 644 of the family's 3401-position model. The record is from RNAcentral. Lineage: Eukaryota; Fungi; Neocallimastigomycota; Neocallimastigomycetes; Neocallimastigales.